Molecule: ribosomal RNA, 315 nt
Filed under: Salmonella enterica subsp. enterica
Lineage: Bacteria; Pseudomonadati; Pseudomonadota; Gammaproteobacteria; Enterobacterales; Enterobacteriaceae
Also listed under: 2 other names
Description: partial 23S ribosomal RNA
Rfam family: Bacterial large subunit ribosomal RNA
Source: RNAcentral
CCCAGACAGCCAGGAUGUUGGCUUAGAAGCAGCCAUCAUUUAAAGAAAGCGUAAUAGCUCACUGGUCGAGUCGGCCUGCGCGGAAGAUGUAACGGGGCUAAACCAUGCACCGAAGCUGCGGCAGCGACGCUGAUGCGUUGUUGGGUAGGGGAGCGUUCUGUAAGCCUGCGAAGGUGGCCUGUGAGGGUUGCUGGAGGUAUCAGAAGUGCGAAUGCUGACAUAAGUAACGAUAAAGCGGGUGAAAAGCCCGCUCGCCGGAAGACCAAGGGUUCCUGUCCAACGUUAAUCGGGGCAGGGUGAGUCGACCCCUAAGGC